AGAGUUUGAUCCUGGCUCAGGACGAACGCUGGCGGCGUGCCUAAUACAUGCAAGUCGAGCGGAAUGAUGAAGAAGCUUGCUUCUUCUGAUUUUAGCGGCGGACGGGUGAGUAACACGUGGGCAACCUACCUUGUAGAUUGGGAUAACUCCGGGAAACCGGGGCUAAUACCAAAUAAUCCAUUUUGCUUCAUGGCGAAAUGUUGAAAGGCGGCUUCGGCUGUCACUACGAGAUGGGCCCGCGGCGCAUUAGCUAGUUGGUAGGGUAACGGCCUACCAAGGCGACGAUGCGUAGCCGACCUGAGAGGGUGAUCGGCCACACUGGGACUGAGACACGGCCCAGACUCCUACGGGAGGCAGCAGUAGGGAAUCUUCCACAAUGGACGAAAGUCUGAUGGAGCAACGCCGCGUGAGUGAAGAAGGUUUUCGGAUCGUAAAACUCUGCUGUAAGGGAAGAACACGUACGAGAGUAACUGCUCGUACCUUGACGGUACCUUAUUAGAAAGCCACGGCUAACUACGUGCCAGCAGCCGCGGUAAU
This 537-nucleotide ribosomal RNA is filed under the name uncultured soil bacterium. Its description in RNAcentral is "bacterial SSU rRNA". It matches the Rfam family "Bacterial small subunit ribosomal RNA", at positions 8 to 524 of the family's 1533-position model. The record is from RNAcentral.